Molecule: ribosomal RNA, 497 nt
Filed under: uncultured bacterium
Lineage: Bacteria
Description: partial 16S ribosomal RNA
Rfam family: Bacterial small subunit ribosomal RNA
Source: RNAcentral
GAUGAACGCUGGCGGCGUGCCUAAUACAUGCAAGUCGAGCGAACGGACGAGAAGCUUGCUUCUCUGAUGUUAGCGGCGGACGGGUGAGUAACACGCGGAUAACCUACCUAUAAGACUGGGAUAACUUCGGGAAACCGGAGCUAAUACCGGAUAAUAUUUUGAACCGCAUGGUUCAAAAGUGAAAGACGGUCUUGCUGUCACUUAUAGAUGGAUCCGCGCUGCAUUAGCUAGUUGGUAAGGUAACGGCUUACCAAGGCAACGAUGCAUAGCCGACCUGAGAGGGUGAUCGGCCACACUGGAACUGGGACACGGUCCAGACUCCUACGGGAGGCAGCAGUAGGGAAUCUUCCGCAAUGGGCGAAAGCCUGACGGAGCAACGCCGCGUGAGUGAUGAAGGUCUUCGGAUCGUAAAACUCUGUUAUUAGGGAAGAACAUAUGUGUAAGUAACUGUGCACAUCUUGACGGUACCUAAUCAGAAAGCCACGGCUAACUACGUG